CAAAAUACGAAAUCAUCACGGAGAUCGAGUCGUGAAGAAGUCCUCGAAGGUCGUCCCGAGGGACCGUUACAUGCUUUAACAAUUCACCUCCCAAUAUUCAAGCAAUGUCACGGCUCGCGACAUCGGAAAUUCAGACAUUGUACUGAUGAGGAGAAUAGAACCCAGGAAGUCGUCAUAUCGAGCAAACGCUUCAACCACUGGGCUACACCACCCUUCUGGAUUCUGUGACUGUACAUUCAUGGAUUAUAUUAUCUGUGUUU
This is a long non-coding RNA of Haliotis rubra (blacklip abalone), 260 nucleotides long. RefSeq lists it as uncharacterized. The record is from RefSeq and is a predicted model, not a curated record. The transcript is spliced from 2 exons. Lineage: Eukaryota; Metazoa; Mollusca; Gastropoda; Lepetellida; Haliotidae.